RNAcentral lists this ribosomal RNA (406 nucleotides) under uncultured bacterium. RNAcentral's name for it is "partial 16S ribosomal RNA". It matches the Rfam family "Bacterial small subunit ribosomal RNA", at positions 30 to 526 of the family's 1533-position model. The record is from RNAcentral.
AUUGAACGCUGGCGGCAGGCCUAACACAUGCAAGUCGAUCGAGUGGCGGACGGGUGAGUAAUGUCUGGGAAACUGCCUGAUGGAGGGGGAUAACUACUGGAAACGGUAGCUAAUACCGCAUACCAUCAGAUGUGCCCAGAUGGGCUUGGCUUGUUGGGGGGGUAACGCUUCACCAAGGCGACGAUCCCUAGCUGGUCUGAGAGGAUUACCGUCCGCACUUGAACUGGUACACGGUCCAGACUCCUACGGUAGGCAGCAGUGGGGAAUAUUGCACAAUGGGCGCAAGCCUGAUGCAGCCAUGCCGCGUGUAUUAAGACGGCCUUCGGGUUGUAAAGUACUUUCAGCGGGGAGGCGUUACCCGCAGAAGAAGCACCGGCUAACCCCGUGCCAGCAGCCGCGGUAAUAC